GGAGAGGUGGCAGAGCGGUUGAAUGCACUGGUCUUGAAAACCAGCAAGGGUGAAUAACCCUUCGUGGGUUCGAAUCCCACCCUCUCCGCCA
RNAcentral lists this transfer RNA (91 nucleotides) under Woeseiaceae bacterium. Its description in RNAcentral is "tRNA-Ser". It matches the Rfam family "tRNA". From Rfam's summary of the family: Transfer RNA (tRNA) molecules are approximately 80 nucleotides in length. Their secondary structure includes four short double-helical elements and three loops (D, anti-codon, and T loops). The record is from RNAcentral. Lineage: Bacteria; Pseudomonadati; Pseudomonadota; Gammaproteobacteria; Woeseiales; Woeseiaceae.